UACGUAGGGGGCUAGCGUUGUCCGGAAUCAUUGGGCGUAAAGAGCGUGUAGGCGGCCCGGUAAGUCCGCUGUGAAAGUCGGGGGCUCAACCCUCGAAUGCCGGUGGAUACUGUCGGGCUAGAGUGCGGAAGAGGCGAGUGGAAUUCCUGGUGUAGCGGUGAAAUGCGCAGAUAUCAGGAGGAACACCGAUUGCGAAGGCAGCUCGCUGGGACGUAACUGACGCUGAGACGCGAAAGCAUGGGGAGCGAACAGG
RNAcentral lists this ribosomal RNA (253 nucleotides) under uncultured bacterium. RNAcentral describes it as "partial 16S ribosomal RNA". It matches the Rfam family "Bacterial small subunit ribosomal RNA", at positions 524 to 776 of the family's 1533-position model. The record is from RNAcentral.